This 317-nucleotide long non-coding RNA is filed under the name Brassica rapa (field mustard). RNAcentral describes it as "long non-coding RNA (BRAP_LNC002268)". The record is from RNAcentral. Lineage: Eukaryota; Viridiplantae; Streptophyta; Magnoliopsida; Brassicales; Brassicaceae.
AAAACUCUGCUUGAGAUGUCAUCUUCCACAAGCCAAAAGUCUCCUACGCUUACAUCUUGAAAGACGAGAAACCAUAUCGAUCACAUUUUACUUAAAAACAAGAGAAGAAUCUAGGUUAAUCAAUCAAAUUAUAAUUUUGUUUUUAUAAUUCAUAUGGUGAAGAAAUAAUCAUUUAACAAAAGAAAGGACAUGUGUGACAGGAUCAGUCGGCUAAUGUUGUUAAUUAUUUACAGUACAAGUUUGACCUAUUCAAAUAGUACGACAUGGGGAUGAUAAACAGACGGAAAGACUUUGGCUAGGUUUCUUUCUAAUUAAAA